AUUGGCAUCAGAAACAAGCUCUCUC
Molecule: non-coding RNA, 25 nt
Filed under: Cricetulus griseus (Chinese hamster)
Lineage: Eukaryota; Metazoa; Chordata; Mammalia; Rodentia; Cricetidae
Source: RNAcentral